This 220-nucleotide ribosomal RNA is filed under the name Crocothemis erythraea. Its description in RNAcentral is "partial 28S ribosomal RNA". Lineage: Eukaryota; Metazoa; Arthropoda; Insecta; Odonata; Libellulidae. The record is from RNAcentral.
CCGUCGGGCGCCGGCCUAAGGUCCCGGGUGGAGCCGAGCUUCGCCGCGCCCGACCCAGGGGAUCCCGGCCGGGUGCCCGACGGUACGAAGAGAGGAAGGAGUCGGCGCGCCUCUUGUAGGCGUCNNNCCCUCCGCAAGCACUCGCGGGAGAGGGAGGUCCGGGCCCGGCCCGGCCUCUUUCUUCAUCGGGGCUGUUUGCGACAAGGAGGUGUGCUCGGAC